Long non-coding RNA from Amphiprion ocellaris (clown anemonefish), 2280 nucleotides. Lineage: Eukaryota; Metazoa; Chordata; Actinopteri; Pomacentridae. The record is from Ensembl.
GCUAGUAUAUAUGAUUUUCAAGAUUCAAGAGGUUUAUUGUCAUGUGCACAGAAACUAGGCAGUUACACUGUACAGUGAAAUUCUUAUUACUCUGCCAAGGAACAUGGCAGAAUUGUGACAAUCGGCGAAUGUUUGUCUGUUCACAACACUAUUCAAAUACGAAUUAACGGAUUUGGAUGGAAUUUUCAGGGAAGGUCAGAAAUGAUACAAGGACCAAGCGAUUAGAUUUUGGCAGUGAUGCUGCUUAUAGUCUGGAUCUUAAAUAUUUCAGCCGUUGGAAAUAAUACAAGGAAUGAGCAGCCUUGGCGGAGUACUGCGCUUUCAUAUUGUAUUCAGUACCAAUUUUUUUUUUUCAAAAAAAAAAAUGACAACAGAAAUGAAAAUAAAGCUAUUGUUACUGUCAAAAAGACUGUAUACCCCAAAACAAAAGAGACCAGCGUUUCAGACAUGCUAUAAACUUUAAUAGACAUAUUGAUAUUUCUGAAGAGAAACAAAGUUAUCCCUAGUUAUAUUUACAAUACAGGAAUAAAAACUGUCACAUACAGUACAAUGGUAAAAACAACAUAGAGAACUUAAAUAAUUAUUUUAUUUGUGUAACUACUUAAAUAAUGAAAAUGGUUAUUCUAUUCACACCACGCCGUCUCAGCAGCUACAAUGCAACUUUCACAUUAAGUGCUAAAAAAAAAUUAGAAUUUUCCAUUUUACAGCAUGAAUUCCGUUUUUGACUUAUGAAGACCAGGUAGAGCUGAUUUAUUUCAGCAAACUCGAGCGAAGUGGGAGAUGACCGGCAAAUACAUCAUUUACAGACACCGAACUUCAAUUAACUGUGAAACUUGUUUGCCGAAAUAAAAGUAGGGGAGAAAGUAAGAAUUACACCUGUUUACCGUCAAACUGCUCAACACAACAACUGAUGGCUCUGUCAUACUCAUUUUAUGGGAUUUAAAGUAGCUAAUGAUCAGAUGCAGAAGUCCUAAUAAGAUUAAUCAGUUGUUGAAAAAAGAAUUCAUAUAAAUAUAAUCUCUGUAUGAACUUAUUUCUGGCAUCUGAAAAGACGAACACACCGCUGUGGCUCCAGACGAUCUGUGUGUGACCGUUUUCUGACUGUGUAGGAGUCAGAUGCUCAUGAGAGGAUUUAAUCUUGACAUUUUUUUUCCCCUCAGGUUAAUCUUAAAUCUGCUCUUUGCGGAUAAGAUCUGCCUCUGACUGUGAGCUGCUUCCACAGUGACUCAGAGGCCCGAUGGGAUCUUUGAUCAUCUUACAACAGAGACACAUUUCUGACAGUGGUAAUAUAACCAUAUGUCAGGGGAAAGAGUUAGAUGGACUCCGCCAACUGCUCUGAAUUAUUCUAUGCAGGCAUAGACAUGCAUUACUUUUACACUGGGGAAAAAAAAGAAAAGAAAAAAAGUCCUCACGUGUCUUCCAUAAAAGCUGCAUAUGUAUAAGUACGACAUGAAAUGACAUGAACUGACAAGCUUAGUGUAAAACUGCUUUCUAUAAACACCAUAUUCUCCCAUAUAUUAUUACGCUUAAAAAAAUAAACCCUCCUCUAUGAUAACAAUAGUAAUGCUAUAGUUUUUUUUUGCAAUGCUAAGCAGUACUUAGGUAAGCUCUAUUGGAAAUAUACAUCACCGCGCUAUCUCUUCCCUUUGUAGUUUUGAAUUCGACUUUCAGUGUGACGCAACGAAAGGAGUCUGCCAAACCAUACCUGUGAUCGUGUGGUAUCCGAGUGUGUAACUUUUUCUCACUACGCUUUGAAUAAAUGUCGAGACUCGUUGUGAAUAAUCAAGUGAAGGAAACAAUAAAAAUGAAUACAGUGCAUGGGAAAACUCAGUUCAAAAACUCCCUUCAGAAUGCAUGAAACUGGCUGUGACGAAACACGAUGUUCUCACUCACUUGUCACUACUUUUGUUUAACAGUCCUCUGUUGUGUGUGGAUCCGAUCUGUACACUGAUAGCAAGCGAGUGUUGCAAAACAAACUAUACAUACUGUAUACUGUUAUCGCUUUGUAUGACAAUGUACCCACAAACUAAAUACAACAUCAUAAAUGAGACGACAUGGUUGUUCUUGUAUUAGUGCCUUUAGGAUAGUAGAGCACAAAGCACUGCAGGCUCUAUGUGACGCGUGACUCUGUUCCUUCAAAGUCUGUGUGUGAAGACAUUUACUUUGCCGUGUUUUUAAAGGACCAGGAGCACAAAUUGGAUCUUGAGCCGUGCCGUUCCUUACAAUUUUGAAUCCUUAAUGAACUCCUGAACUGUCUCCAGUGAAAUGCCUCAAACUAUG